GACGAACGCUGGCGGCAUGCCUAACACAUGCAAGUCGAGCGAGGCGAUUCCUUCGGGAUGAACCUAGCGGCGGACGGGUGAGUAACACGUGGGCAACCUGCCUCAUAGAGGGGAAUAGCCUCCCGAAAGGGAGAUUAAUACCGCAUAAGAUUGCAUCUUCGCAUGAAGAAGCAAUUAAAGGAGCAAUCCGCUAUGAGAUGGGCCCGCGGCGCAUUAGCUAGUUGGUGAGGUAACGGCUCACCAAGGCGACGAUGCGUAGCCGACCUGAGAGGGUGAUCGGCCACAUUGGGACUGAGACACGGCCCAGACUCCUACGGGAGGCAGCAGUGGGGAAUAUUGCACAAUGGGGGAAACCCUGAUGCAGCAAUGCCGCGUGAGUGAUGACGGCCUUCGGGUUGUAAAGCUCUGUCUUCGGGGACGAUAAUGACGGUACCCGAGGAGGAAGCCACGGCUAACUACGUGCCAGCCGCCGCGGUAA
Molecule: ribosomal RNA, 478 nt
Filed under: uncultured bacterium
Lineage: Bacteria
Description: partial 16S ribosomal RNA
Rfam family: Bacterial small subunit ribosomal RNA
Source: RNAcentral